GGAGGAUGCAAGCGUUAUCCGGAUUCAUUGGGUUUAAAGGGUGCGCAGGUUGGAUAGUAAGUCAGUGGUGAAAUACUGCCGCUUAACGGUAGAACUGCCAUUGAUACUGCUGUUCUUGAGUAUGGUUGAGGUAGGUGGAAUGUGUUGUGUAGCGGUGAAAUGCAUAGAUAUGACACAGAACGCCGAUUGCGAAGGCAGCUUACUAAGCCAUUACUGACGCUGAGGCACGAAAGCGUGGGGAUCGAACAGGAUUAGAUACCCUGGUAGUCCACGCCGUAAACGAUGAUCACUCGCUGUUUGCGAUACACAGCAAGCGGCUGAGCGAAAGCAUUAAGUGAUCCACCUGGGGAGUACGAUCGCAAGGUUGAA
Molecule: ribosomal RNA, 369 nt
Filed under: uncultured bacterium
Lineage: Bacteria
Description: bacterial SSU rRNA
Rfam family: Bacterial small subunit ribosomal RNA
Source: RNAcentral